RNAcentral lists this transfer RNA (72 nucleotides) under Stegodyphus dumicola. Its description in RNAcentral is "tRNA-Met". It matches the Rfam family "tRNA". From Rfam's summary of the family: Transfer RNA (tRNA) molecules are approximately 80 nucleotides in length. Their secondary structure includes four short double-helical elements and three loops (D, anti-codon, and T loops). Lineage: Eukaryota; Metazoa; Arthropoda; Arachnida; Araneae; Eresidae. The record is from RNAcentral.
GCCUUCGUGGUGUAACGGUAGCACGCUGGGCCCAUAUUCCAGAGGUCUGUGGUUCGAUUCCCGGCGAAGGCG